GCUCCUAUAGCUCAGUUGGUAGAGCAGCUGAUUCGUAAUCAGCAGGUCACAGGUUCGAACCCUGCUAGGAGCACCA
RNAcentral lists this transfer RNA (76 nucleotides) under Clostridiaceae bacterium. Its description in RNAcentral is "tRNA-Thr". It matches the Rfam family "tRNA". From Rfam's summary of the family: Transfer RNA (tRNA) molecules are approximately 80 nucleotides in length. Their secondary structure includes four short double-helical elements and three loops (D, anti-codon, and T loops). Further hydrogen bonds mediate the characteristic L-shaped molecular structure. tRNAs have two regions of fundamental functional importance: the anti-codon, which is responsible for specific mRNA codon recognition, and the 3' end, to which the tRNAs corresponding amino acid is attached (by aminoacyl-tRNA synthetases). tRNAs cope with the degeneracy of the genetic code in two manners: having more than one tRNA (with a specific anti-codon) for a particular amino acid; and 'wobble' base-pairing, i.e. permitting non-standard base-pairing at the 3rd anti-codon position. The record is from RNAcentral. Lineage: Bacteria; Bacillati; Bacillota; Clostridia; Eubacteriales; Clostridiaceae.